This 740-nucleotide ribosomal RNA is filed under the name Entoloma placidum. RNAcentral describes it as "eukaryotic LSU rRNA". It matches the Rfam family "Eukaryotic large subunit ribosomal RNA", at positions 75 to 800 of the family's 3401-position model. The record is from RNAcentral. Lineage: Eukaryota; Fungi; Basidiomycota; Agaricomycetes; Agaricales; Entolomataceae.
UUCCCCUAGUAACUGCGAGUGAAGCGGGAAAAGCUCAAAUUUAAAAUCUGGUAGUCUUUGGCUAUCCGAGUUGUAAUCUAGAGAAGCGUUAUCCGCGCUGGACCGUGUAUAAGUCUCCUGGAAUGGAGCGUCAUAGAGGGUGAGAAUCCCGUCUUUGACACGGACUACCAGGGCUUUGUGAUACGCUCUCAAAGAGUCGAGUUGUUUGGGAAUGCAGCUCUAAAUGGGUGGUAAAUUCCAUCUAAAGCUAAAUAUUGGCGAGAGACCGAUAGCGAACAAGUACCGUGAGGGAAAGAUGAAAAGAACUUUGGAAAGAGAGUUAAACAGUACGUGAAAUUGUUGAAAGGGAAACGCUUGAAGUCAGUCGCGUUGUCCAGGGAUCAACCUUGCUUUUGCUUGGUGUACUUCCUGGUUUAAUGGGCCAGCAUCAAUUUUGAUCAGUGGAAAAAGAUCAAAGGAAUGUGGCAUCUUCGGAUGUGUUAUAGCCUUUGGUUGUAUACAUUGGUUGGGAUUGAGGAACUCAGCAUGCCGCAAGGCCAGGUUUUCAACCAUGUUCAUGCUUAGGAUGCUGGCAUAAUGGCUUUAAUCGACCCGUCUUGAAACACGGACCAAGGAGUCUAACAUACCUGCGAGUGUUUGGGUGGAAAACCCAAGCGCGUAAUGAAAGUGAAAGUUGGGAUCCCUGUCGUGGGGAGCACCGACGCCCGGACCAGACCUUCUGUGACGGAUCCGCGGUAGAG